Molecule: transfer RNA, 65 nt
Filed under: Solen grandis (grand razor shell)
Lineage: Eukaryota; Metazoa; Mollusca; Bivalvia; Adapedonta; Solenidae
Description: tRNA-Glu
Source: RNAcentral
UUUUUUGAGGUGUAAGAACACGUCGGUCUUUCGAUCCGGAGUUGAAGAAUUUUCUUCCAAAUUUU